CGCAAGUUACGAGAUUGACGGAUGACAGCAUAACAGAUGGGACAGGUGGCCGGUUGUUCGGAUUGGGAUCGGGAGCGGGGUUCUGUAAACAAAAAGAAAAAAUAUUGAAAAAUUCUGUUCCGUUGUUGUGAUGUGUGUUGCUUGAUUGGAUGAUGCCCAGCCAAGACCAAAAAUAAACUGGUGUGUGCAAUUUCACCCAAAACUCAUAAAUGUUUAUUUUAUCAUCAAUUUCUACUAUAAAUAUGUUAAAGAAUUGUGUACGAGUAUUUAGUACUCGCAUGAGACAAAAUCAAAAAAUCAGCCUACACUCACCACAUUUUAACGAGAUACACAUGAAUCAGUCUCGAAAUAAACAACAACAAAUUGUAAAGGGAGUAUAAAAAAGAGGGUUCAUAGAGCUCUAGCAACAAAAACAUUAAAGUUUUUUCUUCUCGCCAUGACAAAAAUGAAAGAAAACAAAUAUCUACCACUCUAUAUGUGGACUGAAAAGAAUGAAAAACCUAAAAUUUAAGAGGAAUUGACGCAUUUCAAACUCUCAAGUAGUGAAAUCUUAUAAGAAUUUUUCUAUUGUUGUUGUGUUAAUUUUAUUUUAAAAUAAAACCAAAUAACCCUCAGUUCAGAGAAUGGAGGGCAACGAUGUCUGUCUUUUUGUCUGUCCGCAUGACUGUCUAUCUCAUUCUCGU
Molecule: long non-coding RNA, 683 nt
Organism: Lucilia sericata (common green bottle fly)
Lineage: Eukaryota; Metazoa; Arthropoda; Insecta; Diptera; Calliphoridae
Exons: 3
Source: RefSeq, a predicted model, not a curated record